GGAAUGAGGGGUUUUGUGAUGGGAGAAAUAGUGGGGUGAUUGCACACUGAUGGAAGCGAUCCCAUGGAGACAGGGACGUCAAUGACUCAGGAAGGGCAGUGUUGCAGAACCAGGAAAGGGGUGCAAGCUUGAGACAGAUGCAAAUUUGCAUGGGCACAGCCUUGCGCCUGCUAGGCCCACACCUCCCCUCAACCCCCUGUCUUGGACUUCCCCAGGGGAGGCUGGCCCUCAGCAAAUGUCUGACAACUGAGCAUCUAGAUGAACUGAGCCCCCUCCUCAGGCCCCUUGUGUAGGGAACCGGUGGGCAGAGGCCUCAUCCCCUUCUCUCAUCUCUGGUGAGACACCACCACACAGCCACAUUCCCUGGAGAUUGGAGUGCCUGCACCCCCUUUUACCCAGUGUCUCCAGAGCUCAUUGCUCAGUAGAUGGGGCCCAGGAGGGAGGAG
Molecule: long non-coding RNA, 446 nt
Filed under: Homo sapiens (human)
Lineage: Eukaryota; Metazoa; Chordata; Mammalia; Primates; Hominidae
Description: non-protein coding lnc-ZCCHC17-15:2
Source: RNAcentral